UGAAUGUAGAGUGAACAAAUUCCCUUUGCUGACCUUAGGGAUUGUGUGGUAAAUUGAAGAUGUCUCCUUUGAAAAGCAAUGAGAAUGAAAAGAUUUAAAUGUAGCCUGUUUGAAGAUGAUUUUAGCAAGGGCUGGUCCUUUCAGAAGAAGCCAGUGAAGGGAAGUGGAGAGGGGUGCAUGUCUUCCUCAGCCUCUUGGAGAUGCAAGUUCAGCUCUUCAGCUCAAACAGAGAAAAUUUAAGACUCAGAAUUACUGUUCUUCGAUGGACUGACCUUCUCAGCUGGACCUUGGCAGCUAGAGAAGCAAAAGCCCAAGACGUUAAAGGUGAAGAGGAGAAAGUUGAAGGCCAGACUACCUGUAGGGAUCUGACAGCUGCAUGUGUUGGAUGCUGAUGUGCUGCUGAAAUGGAUUUGAGGAACAAUUUGUCUGCUCUAAUUUGAUA
RNAcentral lists this long non-coding RNA (442 nucleotides) under Gallus gallus (chicken). Lineage: Eukaryota; Metazoa; Chordata; Aves; Galliformes; Phasianidae. The record is from RNAcentral.